GUGGGGAAUCUUCCGCAAUGGACGAAAGUCUGACGGAGCGACGCCGCGUGAGUGAAGAAGGCCUUCGGGUCGUAAAGCUCUGUCAUCAGGGACGAACGGCCGGUGGAGUGGAAAGCCACCGGAUUGACGGUACCUGAGAAGGAAGCCACGGCUAACUACGUGCCAGCAGCCGCGGUAAUACGUAGGUGGCAAGCGUUGUCCGGAAUUAUUGGGCGUAAAGCGCGCGCAGGUGGGAUCUUAAGUCCAUUUUGAAAGUUCGGAGCUCAACUCCGUGAUGGGAUGGAAACUGGGAUUCUUGAUUACCGGAGAGGAAAGCGGAAUUCCCCGUGUAGCGGUGAAAUGCGUAGAUAUGGGGAGGAACACCAGUGGCAAAGGCGGCUUUCUGGACGGUGUCUGACACUGAGGCGCGAAAGCUAGGGGAGCGAACGGGAUUAGAUACCCGGGUAGUCC
RNAcentral lists this ribosomal RNA (450 nucleotides) under uncultured bacterium. RNAcentral's name for it is "partial 16S ribosomal RNA". It matches the Rfam family "Bacterial small subunit ribosomal RNA", at positions 354 to 796 of the family's 1533-position model. The record is from RNAcentral.